UUAACUCAUAUUUGUAUGGAAUGGGAUUAUUUGCCUAUGUUUGCCGCUAGGGGCGCUGUUCCAACUGCAUACAAAAUUGGGCUA
This 84-nucleotide microRNA precursor is filed under the name Bombyx mori (domestic silkworm). RNAcentral describes it as "mir-2807 microRNA precursor family". It matches the Rfam family "mir-2807 microRNA precursor family". The record is from Rfam by way of RNAcentral. Lineage: Eukaryota; Metazoa; Arthropoda; Insecta; Lepidoptera; Bombycidae.